RNAcentral lists this long non-coding RNA (889 nucleotides) under Homo sapiens (human). RNAcentral's name for it is "HSALNT0347267". Lineage: Eukaryota; Metazoa; Chordata; Mammalia; Primates; Hominidae. The record is from RNAcentral.
UCUGCCUAUAGAGGCCUGGGGUCCCUUUGGCAGCACUUUUCUCAAGAAAGUAGAGUCGUGGACAACCAACUGCACAGGUUGGGAGGCUUUGAAGAACAAGCUGCCAUGAAUCCUGCAGCUACAAGGAAAUGAACUCUAUUAACUUGAGUGAGCUUAAAACUAGAUCCUUCCCCAGUCAAGCCUCCAGGUGAGAAUUCAAUCCUGGCUGGCACCUGGAUUGCAGCUUACAGAAGACCCAGCUAAGGCCAUGUCUGGACUUUAAAUCCACAGGAACUGCAAGAUGGUAUCAGAAGUGGGACCUGCAGUGGGGCAUCUAGCAACCCCCAGGAGCAUUGAGUGACCAGGCUUGGGACCCACCGGGCGCAGGGUGUCCAUUGUUCUCUCGAAGCAACUGAGAAUUGUGGAUAUUCUUCAUUAUUCCAUCAUCAUCUCAAACCUCUUGGGUAUAGUGUUUGACUACUACUGUGACCAUAAAUUCCAAUAAAACCUAGGAAAAAUGAAACCACUACAUUAACUGAAAGGCCAAAACAAGUUACAAGAUCAGACCAGACCCAUGGAGGUAGAGGAAGAUUCAACAUUUGAUGGCAGAGUGUCUUUGACAAAGUUACAGGAUCAAAAUUGAAAGGAGAGCUUUUGGAUUACAUGCUAGCCAAGCUAAUGCUGACUUCUGUUCAGAGAAAAUUUGGAUAUUUAUUCUUUACACUGAAGAUCCCGACUUCCAUUACACAGGUGAUUCUAUUUAAGAAAGAAAGAAAGAAAGAAAAAAGGGAUGAGAUGACAUUAUUGAGCUAAGAUGAAAAUCUGAAAAUUGUGAUAAAUACUCAUUUCAAACCUUCUACAAGAAACACAGUUAUGUGCCACUGCUAAUUAGUGCUGAAUAUUAGAGGAU